AGCAGGCGCGCAAAUUACCCAAUCCCGACACGGGGAGGUAGUGACAAUAAAUAACAAUACGGGGCUCUUUCGGGUCUCGUAAUUGGAAUGAGUACAAUUUAAAUCCCUUAACGAGGAACAAUUGGAGGGCAAGUCUGGUGCCAGCAGCCGCGGUAAUUCCAGCUCCAAUAGCGUUNAUUAAAGUUGUUGCAGUUAAAAAGCUCGUAGUUGAAUUUCGGGAUUGACACAUCGGUCGUGCCUUAAGGGGUAUGAACUGGUGUAGUCAAUUUCUCACCUUCUGGAGAACCGCGAUGCCCUUAAUUGGGUGUCGCGGGGAACCAGGACCUUUACUUUGAAAAAAUUAGAGUGUUUAAAGCAGGCAUUUUGCUUGAAUACAUUAGCAUGGAAUAAUAAAAUAGGACGGCAUGAUUCUAUUUUGUUGGUUUCUAGGAUCACCGUAAUGAUUAAUAGGGAUAGUUGGGGGCAUUAGUAUUCAAUUGUCAGAGGUGAAAUUCUUGGAUUUAUUGAAGACUAACUACUGCGAAAGCAUUUGCCAAGGAUGUUUUCAUUAAUCAAGAACGAAAGUUAGGGGAUCGAAGACGAUCAGAUACCGUCGUAGUCUUAACCAUAAACUAUGCCGACUAGGAAUCAGACGAUGUUAAUUUUUUAAUGACUCGUUUGGCACCUUACGGGAAACCAAAGUGNUUGGGUU
RNAcentral lists this ribosomal RNA (691 nucleotides) under uncultured Glomeromycotina. RNAcentral describes it as "SSU rRNA". It matches the Rfam family "Eukaryotic small subunit ribosomal RNA", at positions 427 to 1113 of the family's 1831-position model. The record is from RNAcentral. Lineage: Eukaryota; Fungi; Glomeromycota.